UUUUUUUUUUUUUUUUGGUUUUUAUUAUUUUAUUAUUUUUGGUAAAUACAACAAACCCAAAGGUUAAGAGAUACAAGCAGUCGAAACUACAUAAAACGAAUGAAAGCAUGAUACAAUCAAAACAAGGCAGUCCCAAGACAAGUAUAUGUGCUGCCAAAAAAGAAACUUGGAGAUAGAUGGGGAAAGACAGCAGACCCAGCCCCCUUGAACAUGAGAAAUCUUUUGCCAAUCUUCGUCGAUUUCGCACUAGAUUCCCCUCUUCAAUUGAGGACAAUGCUCUAUUUUAACUUCGAGUGGAUGCAUCCCUUCUGGUAGAGAAACCAAUUUUGGACACUCACUAAGGUGAAGUAUUCUAAGGGAUGUGAAACUUGUCAACCACUCAGGUAAUGCAUCCAAGUUUUCACAAUCCCAAAUACACAAGACUCGUAGGGUGUUAGCAGCUCCCUGCAACCAUUCGGGCAAUGCCACCAUCCUUGGUGCUGCCGCAAUAGAAAAUCUUCGGAGCCUCAAUGGAAUUAGUUGAUAGUUUCCGUUCUCCAAAUCAAGCUGCUCACAAUUCCAUAUCAAUAGAGUGUGUAAUGUAGCAAGAUAACUCAUAUCACGUGGCAAAGAGGUUAGAUUACCACAAUGCCAAAUAGAAAGAUACCGAAGUGAUAUCUUCCUCUUCCUGCCGAGUCUUCGUUCAGGCUUUUUGUCGAACAGUUGGCGUGCGAGUCCGACCCCGACGACCCCAGCUCCAAGAGGUCGCAUAUGGGAGCUUCAAGGUUGUUUCCAUGGUUUCCAAGGGGUCGUGCGACCCCGACGACCCCACUGUGGAUCCGCCACCAGUGAAGAAAAUGAGAAGUAAUUGGAUGAAAGGUCGGAGCCCUUGCGGCUGCCCUGCCAACGAUUGACGAGGCUUGCGCCCGCGUUAAGUGCAGCAUACGACAAGGGGGCUCUCCUACGUGAAGCCCACCAAAGCCAAAUGGCUCAGAUUUGAUACAUUUACAGCGGUAGGAUUUCCAACGAUUUGUUGAUUAGGACAGUUAAAAAAAUUGAAAAUUUUGAUGCUGCACCAUAUGCGUUUUGUGGAGCCUCUGAUUUUAAAAAUUGAAAAAUUCAACGGCCAUAAUUAAUUCAAUUCUAAAAAAAAUAUAUAUAUUUUAAAAAAUUCAAAAAACUUACAAAAAUUCACAAUUAAAAAUCUUACAAAGUUUAGUACACUUUCAAAUUAAACAAAAAUUUACGCAAUAAUGACAUGUGGAGGAUAAGACGAAGAGAAAAUUAGAAAAAAAUAAUAUAUAUUUGUGAAUAGUAAUCGUUCUUAUCCGUGCUCCUUCCAAAUGGGUGAACUUGUACAAAGAGAAUAACUUAUUACCUACCCACCCAUUGUGGGUAGGGUGUGCCCUUUGAGUCUAGUACCUAUUCAUUUUUAACAAUUAUUUGAGUGAAAAAAAAAAAAAAAAAAAAAAAAAAAAACCUCUCUAUACUUGUAUAAUAACAUAAAAUCUCCCGUGGAGUACAAAAUCCGUUAGCACCAAUUCAUAAUCUUCCACGUGUGUACAUAAACAAAUUAAUGAAAUUCGUAAAUCUUUUAGGGCCAUAUUCAUUUCUUUACUUCAUCCAAUUGAUCUGAUGAUAUUUCUUAUCUUAAAAUUUGGCGAGGUUUCAACUUUAAAUCCCAUCACGUCGUAAUAUAUAAAAGAAAAUAAAUAGAGCUUCAGUCCUAACAGCACAUGCCUAUUUACAAGUGAUUCAAUCAUACUCCAAUGUGAAUUGGCACGUAGAAAAAAAUUUACACAUAAUAGUGCAUUAUUGGAUUAAGACGCCACACUACAGUAUACCCAGUUUAUGUAAGUUUUUCUAGUGUAGGUGAGCAAAUAUAAGUUCAUAUCAUAGCAUACCCACGAGAGGACUGAUUUUGACCUACCUGUUUUUCUUUCUAUUCAUUGUAUGAAAGAGUUAAAAAAAUCAUGAAAUGAAUCAACAGUGAAGGGCUGGAGGUAAAAAGGGGAGUGCGAAAAUUAUUAUAUUACCCAAAAACGAAAAAAAGGGAAAUAGUUUUCUUUAUCGGUGCAAAAACAUUUAACCUAAUAUAAGCAAUUUUUAAAGAAUAAUGGCUCGUUUAAAAGUGCUUUUAAAACUGUUUUUUUUUGUGAAAUUGAUUAUGGGUUCCAAUUGCACUUUAAGUGCUUUUUGGAAAGAGCACAUAUACUUCUUGCAGAAAAUACUUUAAGAGUUUUUUACAGGAUCCUCUUGGAUUUUUACUAGGGAUUGAUUUAAAAACAUUUUCAUAAAAAAUGUUUUCAGUCAUUUUAAAAGCACUUCCAAACGAGCCAUAAUUGAGUAAUAUCUCCACAAGAAAGUACUUUACGAUUGCGAGGACCUUGUUCAGUGUUGUUAACAACGUCAUGAAUACAAUCACUAUCUCGACAGUUAGAUAAUAAUUGUAUUAAAUACAUAUAUUAAUAUAAAUUAUAUUUGACUGUUAGAUGAUGAUUAUUGUAAAUACAUGCGAGUAUAGUCAAUUCCACAAAGUGGAAGAUAAUAAUCAUAAUACACGACCUUUAUGUUAUAAACUCAUCAAUGUCGUCCUUCACCACAUUCAUUGACAUGCUUAUUUAUGUCGUCCUUGUAAUCUCAAUCCGUCACAGUUUCCAAUAAUUUGUUAACACAAAAUAUAAGAACAAUAAUUAAUUUUUAAUAACUUUUUUAAUACAAGCGAAUUACUCGAAUCUAGUCUAAGGAGAGGGGAGACGGUUUUUAUUGCGAGACGGGUGAAUUAAUCACUAGAGCAAUUCAUCAUUAAUAAAAAAAAAUAUUUUAGAUUCAAACAUCUUUAUCAAAUAAGCAAAAAUAAAUUACUUUUUUUUUUUUUUGUAAAGCUGGAAUUCGUCGCCAGGGCAACGUCAAAAGAACAGAAAGCCAAAUUGAAGGCGAACAAACAGACAGACAUAACAGAAAGAAGGAAAGAGAAGUAGAAAGACACUGCUACACAUAGCCCUCACACUUUCUCUCUCACUUCCAUCAAUUGGCAUACAUGAAAACCCAUUCUUGUUCAAGAUCUUUACAUACGAUGGGGGUCUAACAACCGAAGCAAAAUCACUCCUCUCCGAUCCUUGAUCGAACGCAACAUAAUAUGCCGCUUCAUUAGAUGCCCGAUGAACCGAGGACCAGCUGCAUGCUUGAACGACUCCCACAUGUGGACAAUUAAAUUGGCAAAAAUAAAACCACAAUGACAAUAGUUGAAAUCGAGAUAGAAAACACUUACCGAAAUUCCAUUUAAGCUAAUUAAUAUGCAGACGACAUUUUAGCAUUUUGGCAUCCUUUUUUCCUUCCCUUUCUUGGUCCAAAGAAAAGUACGAAAAAGAGAUGCCAAAUGACUAAAUGGUGUCUACAGUUGUUGAACACAAGACAUGACUUCUAAAUAGCUAUAAAUACUAUACUUAUAAAAUAGUUUUUGACUUAACAUUUAACUGGAGUAUAAAUUCUAUUUAUACGUUAGUAGAGAGCCGUGUUUUUACUCGUUUCCGAUGUGGGAUUAACUAUUCUUAUAGGGUUGUUACAUCAUGAACAUCCUCUUUGAUGUGAGACUAACUAUUCUUAUACAGUUGAUUGCUGCUGUAUACUAGGUUGGGGUUAUGGGGUUCUUUCAAUAGGUUAGGGGUUGCAAUAGGUUAGGGUGUGCCAUGUCAACCUAAUACUUAUCAAUUUUUAACUGUUAUCUGGUGUCUGGUGAGUCCUUCUAGUACAAGAUUCAUUAGUCACUAAUUCACAAUUAUUCACGAGUGUGCGUAAGCAAACUAAUGAAUCCGUUAACAUUUUAGAGACAUUAAUUUCUUUUUGCAACCAAGUGAUUCGAUCAUAUUUCUCGUCUUAGAAUUUGAAGGGGUUAUAACUUUGAAUCUUAGAAUGUAAUAUAAAAGAAAAGCAAACGGAAUAUGUGCGCAUAUAGAAGUGGUCCAAUCAUACUCCACCGGUGAGCCAUUUACAUCCUCUCUCAAGCAUGGUUUAAAAUAUCUAUAUAAGUGGAAUAUUGAUAUGCAAAUUCAUUGAAAUAUCGAUGAAUUAUAUCAAUUAUUGCAUGUGUUUGAUAUCCCAGUAAAUAGGAUGAUGAGUUUCUGCUCAUUCGUUUUGAAUUUAAAACUCCCUCAUCUCUUAAAUUAUUGUAAUGUUUUCGGACCCUUCCCCUCCUUUAAUAAUAAUAAAUUAAAAAAUGUUGCCUCGAUAGAAAUUAUGAAAAUUUGCAAUGAAUAUGUAUACCAACUCAUUCAAAUUUAAUUGAAAUUAGAAAAACAAAUUCAAAAGUUCAAAAUAUGUAAUGGGUUCCGGUAAAUUUUUUUAUAGUGAAUCGGUAAGUAUCGUUGAUAUUCAUUGAUUUUCGUAUAUUUAGGGGGUGUAGUCAGACUGGGAAUUGAGAGAAUUUUUAGGGAACUUUAACGAAAAGCACCCGGUACUGUUCACUUUAAUGAAAAACCACAUUUUUACACGUCAAUCCUGGUACUAUUCACUUUACCCUUUAUUUUGUCCUUAUCAUUAAAACUCAAAGUUUUCAAGCCCUUUUAAUUAGUUUUCCUGAAUUUUUAUAGAUUUUGAUACGUGAUGGAUUUCAUAGGAUUAUAUAGACUUCUACAAAAUCCUAUAGAUUUUGGAAGAUUAGUAUAACAAAUUUCUAUGGAUUAUGAAAGAUUUUGUAGCGUUGAAUCUUAACCAUCAAAUAAAUCAAAUGGUAAUAUAUGCAUAUAGGUCAUAAAUCUAAUCAAAUAAAGCUGUUCAUGCUCUGCAUCUGCAUCCCUUGGAGCCGAAAAAAAAGAAGUCAAGAUUAUCACAUAAACCCAACUCCUCAAAGAUCCCCAGUGCACCCAUUUCCAAUCCUACUUCCUCCCUCACUUUAUUCUUAUAAUUUUCGUUGUCACAUUAUGUAUUCAGGUAUAUAAGGGCUUGAUUUAGUUAUCCAAGAGUAUUUUUAAUAUUUAUUAAUUAAACGAAUUCAUUCAUGGUACUCAAAAAAAAAAACAUAAAUAAGCAAACAUGCUCUCAACACAUGAACCAUGCCGCAAAAAUAGCAGCAAUUAGCAGGAGUGCCCAGCAGCAACGAAAACGUUGUAGACAUGACGAAAAAAUUGCAACCCAAGAACAAAAAAUUAAAGAAAAAAUCGCAUAAAAAUGAUGCAACCCAACAACAAAAAUUGAAGAAAAAAAAUUGCAAAAAUGAAGGAAGAAGAUAAAGCAAAGAAAGUGGCUGGCAGUGAGAAGAAGAGGGGUCGUUUAAAAGUGGAUCUGAAAUCCUAUGAUGUGAGGUAGGAUUCUAUUUAGUUUUAGUUAUAUACUUCUUCUUUUCAAAUCCCAUAAAAUCCACAAUUUAAUGAAAUCCUACAAAAUCUUUAAUUUUUAAAUACAUCUAGAUUUGGAUGGACUUUAAAAUUGACUUUUAAAAUCUCCAUUGACUACACCUAGAUUUACAUGGAUUCUAAAAAGGAAUUUUAACGAAAAAUACCCGGUACUGUUCAUUUAACAAAAAAUCACAUUUUUACACUAAAAAGUCAAUCAUGAUACUAUUCAUUUUACCAUUUAUUUUGUUCUUAUCAUUAAAACUCAAAGUUUUCAAACUAUUUUCAUUAGUUUUCAUUUCUAAGGGAACUUUAACGAAUCCAUUAAAAUUCAUUGGUUGAUUACACUAGGAUUUUAAAAUCUUGUCAAAUCUAAAUUUGACUACACCACCCCCUUAGUUGACAUAGGGUGAGGUUUGCAUUUCACCAUUGUUUCUAUAUCGAUUUUCAAUUUUUCGAAUAUUAACCAAAAGAUCAAUAAUUUUGUGGAUAUAUUAAACAAGUGGUCCCAAGCGACUCAAUCAUUCACACCCCAUCCAAUUAUCCAACUUUUCAUACCCAAAAAGGAAAAGGAAAAAGAAAAUACUAUAUAUGUAACAACGUGUGGUAAAUCCGUACAGUCCAGCACUCGGCCUCGACCUCCAUUGCCACCCACCCAUCCACCACAUUGUCUCCCGCCACGCAACGCCACGCCACAUCACCACCGCCCCACUUUCCAAUUUCCCCUUUUUUAUUUUUAAUUUAAUUAAAUAAAUCCAAAUAAAUAUUAUUUUCCUUAUUAAAUUUAAUUUUCAUUGGCAAAGAGCAAAAAGCAGCUCCACUGUAUCUCUCUCGUUCAAUAAUUACCGAGUUUACAACCGUAUCGGUUUCGGUUAAGGCCGCGUUUGGAUCUGAAGGAUUUAGGGUUUCGGACUUAAUGCUAUUGCUAUUCGGUCUGUACCAGAAUGUCUCAAGCUUCUUCCUCGCCUCGAAGCUCUGCAUAUCUCGACGCACUGACGCAAGAGAUCGAGAAGAAGCUCCAGCGGGUAUAUUAAACUCUUUGUUUCCCGUUUGGUUACUGAGAAAAUCUAGGAAAAUAAUUGAAUUAAUGAAUAAUUGAAUCAAAUUCCUGCCACAGUUGACUCUGAUUCAGUUAUUUGAAUUUAGUUGAGAUACGGGUAAUUAAUUGUUCGAUGUCAGAAUUCGUAAAUUAAUUAAAUUGUUGGAUAUCUGAAUUUGUAAAUUACUGUAAAAGUUUUUGAAUUUUUUUCAGAAUUUUCUUUCAUACGGAUUUUGCUCUGGUAAUUAUUAUGCAAAUGUUUGAUUUGGGAUUGUGAAUAGAAUGUUUGGAUUUGGAGAGCGUUUGAUUUAGGAUUUGGGAGUUUAUUAAUGUGAUUGCCAGCAUAAGAAAAGGAUUAGGGAAAUUCAGGCCUAACUUGGUAGAGGUUUCUGUGUGUUUAAUGUGUUGUAGGCGCUGGCUUCUCCGUCGCAGCGGCGGAAUUUGUUGCAGGAGUUGUUUGCUGACAUAGCUUUGGAGAUCGAUGAGCGAGCCAAAGGUGAGUGGAAAUUCUCCAUGGAGUUGUCUGUUUUCGGAAUUGACAUUCAAAUGUUUUCAGUGAUACUGCUGUAAGCCUGUAAUUGGUUAGCAUUUUAAAGUAUAGUUUUUACUUUUUAGAUAUGAUAUAACUACUAGCAGUGAUACUUAGGAUCGGCUGAAAAUGGUUUAUUUAGCAGGAUAGUACGUUCAAUCGAAAGAAUUAUGAGAAUACUAUAAGAGCACAGUUGCAUUGCGUUGCGUUACUACCUUGAUAAUGUAUGUCAAAUGAGUAUUUACUACCACAUACGCGUGGAACUAGAAGUGCUUCACAGGAACAUUGAUUAUUCAUUGAUUAAUUGCGGUCUAGUUUGUAUGUUGUGGAAAGUCGUUUACAAGUGUAAGGCGUUACAUGCAAUAUUUAUGACUGGUGUUCUAAUUUUUGGAAUUCACAUUGCAUGUCAGAAAUGAUUCUCAGCAGGGAAGAGGAUGCAAUUUCUCCUGCUGAGGAUGGCAUUGAAGGUCAGCUUUGCUUUUAUGAUGUGCUCACUGAUCACUAUGUUCGGGUGCCUGAGAAUGGAAAACGCAUCCUUGAUUUGAUUGUCCAACUUUGGAGCCAGUCAUUUGCAUCUCAUAUUUUUGCCUUGUUGUUCCACAAAUGGGUAUGUCAACGCACACCCAGUGUAUUGAUCUUUUCCUUUCUAUAUUAAAGUCACCAUUCUGGAUACAAAAUUCUCCUGGUUGGUGAUUUGUUUUGAGAAAAUCGUAUUGUUUCUGUUUACUUUUGGAGCUUUCACCUAUAAAUCACGUGGAUGAAGCAUAACGCUGUAAAUUGUAUUUGUUAAACUGGAAAAGUAUGUAGAAUGGCCUUGAAAAGUUGUCAAACUCAUUGAAAUUGAUUUGGAAGUUAUCAACAUUCUUUAUUACCAAGUUAUAUUUUAAAUGAUUGACACAGUUGGUCUUCAGACAUUCUAUGAAUGAAGUUUUUGUUCACAUACUUGAAGCUGAUUCUUACUUCUUAACUAUGUUGCCUUAGUUAAUCCACUGUGAUGCCGAGAGGAUUUAAUAUAGUUGUUUUGCCAGCUGUUUGAGGUUCAACUUGACAACUCUGAAGUACUUCUUCGUUACUCAUCUGCUCUUGUUGAAGGUGCAACAAAUGUUUUCUGGUACGAAUAUAAGUGCAUGCUUGUUGUUUUUUAAUGGUUGAUUGGAGUCAUUGGACUUACAAGUGGUUGUAGAUGGCUUUGCAGUAUUGUGACAUGUCUAUUGAUUUUGUAGUGCCUUUUAUUCACUUUUCAACGGGACUCCCAUAGUUGAAAUAAUAUGUAAAAACAGAAUCUCUUGUCUCGUGUCCUUGUAUAUUUAUGUAUGUUUUUGUUCCUCCAUAGUGUGAUGUUAGGUAGGUGUUGCUUGUUCUGUGAAAAUAAAUUACGUGUCUUCGAUUUCAAAAGCAGCAAAGAUAGAAAUGGACUUUUUUUUUUAAGGAACCUGGUAUGACAUGAAGAGUUUAAUGGUAUCUACCAAAGCUACUCUUGUGGACAUGUGGAAUGGUCUGUCUGCUUUGUUCCCAUUGCCCAACUUUUUUUUUCUUUGGGCUGCUGCUGCUACUAUCCAUAUGUGCUGACAAAAUGGCAACUUAGGGUUAUGAAUUAUGUUCCUUUUUUUAUUUGAAAUGGGAAUUCCCCCAUCCAAGGUUUCAUUUGUUUCUUUCUGUUCUGUCUAGGAAACUUAUUAAUGGUACUGUGUGCAAAUAUGCAGGAUUGAUACUCAAUCAAAUGCAAGGCGAUUCCAAUCCCUCUUUUGUGUAAGAGCCAUUUCACAGUUGAAAUUUAUAUGCUUCUGUUGAAGAACUUUAUGAAAUAUUUAUUUCAUUUUGUGUUUAACCCACCUUUUAUUUCAGUAUCUGCUUGAGGAUGUUGCUUUGGAGCCCAAACGGUUAAAUAAAAUUCCUGUACAGGUCAGAGAUUCCCUUUCCAAUUUGACAGGGAACUUUUUUACUCGGUGUGGAUAACUUCUAGCCAUGAUAGUGAUUAAACAACCAAUAUCUAUGUAGACACUUUUAAAUUAACUUUAGAAUUCUUCAUUAAUUCUCAGGUCCAGCGAGAUCUAUUUCUUUUACUCUCGAGGUUUAUAAUUUUUUAUAACUCAGGUGGGUUUUCUGGUAAUGCAUCUUCAGCCUUUGAAUUAAGAAAUUGUAAUUUGUCCAGUAAUGUGUUGAUUCAUGCAGUUGACAAGCUCGACAGCUUCUUAAGGGAAUUUCCUCAUUUUCCGAACGCUUUUUUGAUUGGUAGUUCAGCAGACUUCUUUGUUAUUGAACUAGCAGAUCAGGUCAAAUUUGCAACACUCUCCGCAGCAGAACUUUUGCUUAGUUUUGUUCACACACUGCAUUGAUAUUCAUAUAUUAACAAUCUAAUAUGUUCAUAUUUUCUUUACUGGUCAGCUUCAAAAACUGAAGGUGGAACCAGUAUUGCUGCAUUACCUUUCAUACAUAAAAGUUCUCCAGGGUAAUAUUCGAACCGUUUUUUUCAGGUUUAAGAUUUAAGGAAUUAUGUGAACCUGGAAUUACAGUCGCUUUGUGUUCUGCUUAAUGUAUUUCUAAUUUAAAAGGAAUGGAGCUGAGAAUGGCCACAAGCACAAGGUUAAAGGCUUGUCUGUAUAGCUUCACUUCUCCUGGAGGUCCAAUGUACCCUACAAGAGCUGUUCGUCAUGCGGCAUGGGAUGCAUUAGAUUUGCUUUUUCCUGUGAGUAUAUUAUUAUUACCUAUCACAAUUUUCUGGUUAAACUGGAUAAAUUUAGUGCAAUCGUACUGUUAUCAUCUUAGUUAUCCUAAAUAUUGUGCGUUAUAUAGAUUAUUUUAUUGCCAAGGGGAGAUCUUUAUUGAUAAUUUGAUGACUAACUCUGAGAUAGAAUAAUCUAUAGAGCCUUACAUGAUGCAUUUAGGCGUCAUCAUGGGUUGUCGUGGCUUCAGAUAGAUUAUACAUGCAUAUUCAAGGACUUACCAGUGUCUUCCCAUGACUCGAUUCUGAGCAUUCCGCCUUGUUUGCAUGUGUGGGAGCAUAACUCUGAGUCUAUGGUGCAGGUUGGCAGAUACCCGCGGCAUCUCAUAAGCCUGUUCUUCCGAUUGCUAUAUCCAUGGUACUGGCCCGCUUCUUGUUGGAAUUUCGUCAUGGAUUGCGUAAAGGCGGUAUUGUAUUCUCUGUUAGGAUUAAUCUACUCAAGUUUGGGGAAGCUGAGAAAGCCAAAGUUUUAAAAUGCUGCCAAUUUCGAAAGAUGUAGCCUGUAAAGUUAAAAAACUAAACCCCUAGGAACCGAAGCGCAAAGUUGUUUGUAGUGAAUUGUAUAUGUGAUUUUGUUCCCGUUUUGCCCUCUUUCGACGGAACCGAAAUUGUUUCUUCUUAAUUUUGAUUGCAAACACUACUUUGGUUCAUUGUUUGUUCCCCUUUUAGCCGUCGAUUACAUGUUCUCAAUAACUUGUUUUAUUUGCUUUUCCUUGGUGGAUCGUUUUAAUUGUUUUCAGAUUGCAUCUCUUAUUACGCAAAUGCAAAUCUAAGCUAAAAUUAAAGAAUAUUUAGGGGGGCUAAAACGUAUCCAAAAAAUUUCCUUGCCGGAAACUUUGUAGGCCUACACAUUCGGAAAAUGCUCCUGCAUGAAUUUCAACAAGUUUGUGGUAUGGCGAAUGGCUCGAGUUCGUGGGCAAUACGCCUGCUGGAGGUUGCAUUUGGUCGAACUUUUGGCAUCAACCUGAGGUUGUAUUUGGCCGAACUUUUGGCAUCGACUCGGGGUCAUGAAUGGCACGAGACUGAUCUACGGCUGUCUGAAUCUGGAGACUGAUCUACGGCUAUCAAGUUCAUUAUGUUUGGUACUGAAUAUAGGGCAUUGUCUCAUUGCCGAUACAAAACCAAACAGUUUGGCUUGGAUGCCAUUUACCAGUCCAAUCCUGCCUGAACCAGUAAGGCACCCGUAGUUCAGUCGGUGACUUAGGACCGGAACCAGCCAAACCGGCUCGUGCCACCCUUAGAUGAAUUAGCAGUGUUUCCCAACCCAUACGCCGCACUAGAAACAUACAUGGAUAGCUAGAUUAACAAGACUGGAUUGCGAAGGUAGGGUAUUAGCAAAGUUUUUGCCCGACUAGGGUAUUGUGUUUUCCUCUAAUACGAGAUAACCUUAUCUCUUGUUCCAUACUAUCACCGUGGAUCACAUAAUUAAUCACGUGAUGAGAGAGAUAGAGAUAGAUAACCUUCUCUCUAGCAUCCUAUUUCUACUCAACUAUCGAGACAAACGAAUCAAACAGCGAAAACACAAGUCAUCUCAGUUGAAACGUAGCUAUGUGAAUUCCAACAUCAAAACAUAAAGACGUACAUAAGUUCACAUAGCAGAAAGUAAAAAUUCUAAUCUCAGAAACUCAACAAGUUUAAUCCAGUCACUUGGGACGGAAAACCAGCCGUAUUCAAUAGUGUGCAUACGGAAAACCAACCAUGGAAAGAUAGAACCAUGCCCCAAUGCAAUCUACUGAUAUAGGCAACAAAAGGGUAAUAUUCACAAUCAAAGCAGCAACUAUCAACUCUGACCCAGAAUACAAUCAGAAUUAACAAUCACCCCCGCUGUCUUUACCCAGACACCGAAUAAAGACCGUCAAAAGGCAGGCAUAUCUGGAACUCCUUCCAGGACUAGGAAGCCUGAAGGCACCGCAGAUCUCUGAACAUCAUCGUUAUGACUUCAGUAACCAGUUCUACACCUAGAACCGGCUAGUUGCUUAGUCCAUACAAUUUCUCUAAACGCAUAAUGUCAGGAUCAAUGCCAAUUAAAUUAUCAUUUCUGGGUCAGGGGUAUAAGAGAACGCUACCAUAAAUUAGCAGGAAAUAUAACCAGCUCAACUGCACCAAACACAAAGGACAAAACUUAAAUAAAUAACAAGAUUUCAAAGCCAAGGAAAACAGAGAUAUCUACCUCAUGCGAAGUACGCCAUUUUACAGGCAGUAGAACCAACCAAACUCAUUGCAGCAGUGUGUGAAUUCUCUAAGGCUCAAUCCUUUCACACGUUCUGCAGCCAGUUUUGUCUUUGUGUGCGGAGAAACAGAGACCAACUUGUUGAAAAGGGAUUGAAGAAGCUAAUGGAUGGGAGUUCAGUUCAAAGUACUGAAACUGUCUAUUAACCCACAUAUCUCAUACCCAUGUCUAAACAAACAUAAUAAGUGCCCAAACUACUUAAGCAAGAUUCUACAAGUUCUUCCUACGCAUGAUUUCUCUCUCAAGGAAAUUGGGUUUUGAUAGAAAUACAGAAAAUAUAUGAGGUUGUCAAAUCACCAAGCACCUAAUGAGCCAUAAAAGAUGUAAUAAAGCCAACACUUCAUACAGCUGAUUUCACUUUACUCUUGCAUUGAUUCUGCUGCUGCAUGGUACUUCUCUAGCUCGGCAUCAAGAUCUUCAGCGGAAACCUUUUGGUCCUUUUCACCACGGCCUCUUCCACUUCCGCGUCCACCACCGCCCCUUCUAGGACCACGGCCACCACGGCUGCCGCCACCACCACCUCCGCCACCACCACCGCCGCCACGUAUACGUCCAAAUGCACCACCCCUACUCUGUCCCCUGCUCAACAGCCACAACAAAUACACAAUCAGCUUCAGAUAAAUUAAAACAUGGCACAGAUAAUAAAUACGCACAUCCAACAAUAAUAGAAGCCGAGUCUUCCCAAUUGCUACAUCUCAUGACUCAAACACAUGUAUGAGACAAAACAUCAGCUAUAUUCGAAGGGGUAACUGAGGCAUGAUGGAACAUCAGUUUGAGUAUCAUACAAAUACAUUUUAAUCUAAAUAAAUAAGUAUCAAAGUCAUUAAUUCAAGAUUACUUAUUUGUUUAGAAGUUUCAGUUACAACAUGUUUAAAGAUUUUAAAGACUACAACUUCUAGGUUUUCCCUCUACAAUAAAACCAUAGACUCUACAUAUGGCCCGGAAAACAGCCCAUAAUAAACCCAAGCCAAUAAUGCAAAAUCGUAAUAGGCACAACAGCAUCCAGCAUUUGCAAAAACAAAACUUGCACCUUGAUGCAUUCUUAUUCCAGACAAAUGUUGGCUAGAAAGAUUAACUAAUGCCUAGAACAAAAGCCAAGAGCUUCUUAUAGCAAUCAAAAAUCAAAAUAACCUCUUAUUCCUUCAAGUCAUUUACUAAAAAGCGGAAAAAAAUGUAUAAGCACAAACAUCAAUGAGAGCUAAUUCUAAAGUGAAAUGUAUGGUACACAACAUACCCCAUGGGUAGUCCAUUCCGAUUUCCAAAAUUUCCAUUAGCAGCAGGGGGGAAAGCAGGUGGGGCUCCAGGUGUCCCAAUGUUUGUUCCUACAAUCUCAAUCUUCAUCGGCUUCCCAUCAAGCUGAACAUUGUUGUAUCUUUUAACAGCCGCCGCAGCAUCCGUUCGUCGUGAGAAAACUACGUCUGCCGUUCCCUAUGAAAAAGAGCUUUGUAUUAAACUACAGCAGGACACAAAGAAUUCUCCAGAAGGACCAACAAUGCAAAACUUGACAAGGUACCUUUGAUCUCCCGCUUCUGUCAUAAUGUACUCCAUAACGUUUCAGGUCACCAACCUCAGAAAACAAUUCCUGGCAUAAUAAUUUGACUUUAGAAAACACAAAUUGUAGCAACAAAUGUGGAUUCAAAGUCUCUGUUAUUUGCAAAGACUGUUCAAUAAAGGCAUUAAAGGGAUUUUCGAUGUUCCGCAGACUUAUCAACCGUAUCUUAAUUACAUGUGGAUUAGCCGAUUAGUUUAACAUUUAUUCGGCUAACAUAAAAACUCCAAUCUAAUAAAAUAAUUUAUAAGAAGAAUCCAAAUUCAAAACAUUUAGUUCUAAAUCCAAUAUCCAAAUACCCCUAAUUUUGAUUGAUCAUAAAUCACAAACGAAACCCCACCCUCUUAAGAAACAAGUCCAGCUUUUAUAUAGAAUUUUGAAAGAACAGGGAAAUUCACCUUAAUGUCCUCGUUGGAAACGCCAUAAUCGAGAUUGGAGAUGUAGAGCUUGGUUCCGGUUUCGAUAGCCGAUGCUCUCCCAGCUGGAGCCGCGUACGCCACCGCACCAAGAUCCCCAUACAUGUCGUGUUGCCACGCAGUCUCCGGCGCCUAAAUCCCCAAAAUUUAUUAUUAACUCAAUUCAAUUUCAACUGGAGAAAAGAUCAGAUCAGAGCCAAAGCCAGAGAUUUGCUUCUACCUUG
This 14018-nucleotide long non-coding RNA is filed under the name Malus domestica (apple). RNAcentral describes it as "long non-coding RNA (MDOM_LNC010177)". Lineage: Eukaryota; Viridiplantae; Streptophyta; Magnoliopsida; Rosales; Rosaceae. The record is from RNAcentral.